RNAcentral lists this long non-coding RNA (1211 nucleotides) under Naja naja (Indian cobra). Its description in RNAcentral is "lncRNA (ENSNNAG00000018935.1)". The record is from RNAcentral. Lineage: Eukaryota; Metazoa; Chordata; Lepidosauria; Squamata; Elapidae.
AAAUAUUUGAAUAAUGUUUUUAUUCACAUAAUAAUACUUUUUAUGUAUUAACAUAUUAUAGGAAGAGCUACAAGAAGCAUUUCUUGCUCAUGCAAUAAAGCAGCAGACUGAAGAAUAUUCAGAAGACUUUGAAAGUGAUGAAUACUCAGAAGAGGAAUUUCCUGAACCUGAGGAAAACAUCUCUCCUAAAUCAGCAGUCUUUACAGUAUCACCAUCUAACUUUAAUCUUUGUCACACUUUAAAAAGUGAAAGUGCCGAUGACUUGUCUUCAUCAGAGGAAUAUGAAGGAUCUCAAUAUGGGUCCAUUCUGGAGAGAAAAGUUUUGAGCAAAGAGGGGCAAACGAUUCCCUUUUCACUAACUGAACACCCUGGAUCAUGUACAAGGAGUACAGCAAAACUAUCCAGUCCAUCUGAAAUAUCUUUGUCAAAUCACUAUUCUUUUGGAAAACAAACUGUUGGUAACUUGACAUUAGCAAACUAUGAAGAAAUGCCUCAAGAAGCAACCACAUCAGAAAAUAAACAUUUGAUCAAAGACACUGAAGAUGAUACAGUUAUUGAAGAAAGACCUGAUUGUGAAGACUACGGUCAUAUAGAGGAAACAAUUAGGUAUGAAUUGUCAUUAGAGAAAAAGGACAUGAUCCAGUGUAAAAUGGAAAGCAAGCCAGUGCCAGAGCCAAGGGAGGUCAAGACUACGGCUGCAUCUGCAUCAGGUAAAGGAAAUAUAUUUAAAUAUUAUUGCUUAAAUUGUGUAAUUCCUGGAUUGCUGGAAAUAUUUUAAAACAAAAUAGUUGGAUAAACUGUUUUUUUUCUAUUUAAAGAAAAUUUUAAUUCUUUGAAUAUAUGUAUUUGACAGGGAGAAAAAUCAUUGUCUUUUUAUUUGACAAAGUAAGUUUUGUUUAAUUUGUUUACAAAUUAAAGCAUUGUCAUUUUGCCAUGUGAUAUAAUGUAGGAUUGCUUAUAAGGCUGCAGUAUACAAGCAGUCCUCAACUUACAACAGUUCAUUUAGUGAUCAUUUCAAGUUACAACAGCACUGAAAAAGUGACUUAUGACCAUUUUUCACACUUACGACCAUUGCGGCAUCCCCAUGGUCACAUGAUCAAAAUUCAGACACUUGGCAACUGACUCAUAUUUAUGGCGGUUGCAGUGUCCUGGGAUCAUGAAAUCACCUUUUGCAGCCUUCUGACAAAGUCAGUGGGGAAGUUAGAUUCACU